Molecule: ribosomal RNA, 237 nt
Filed under: uncultured bacterium
Lineage: Bacteria
Description: partial 16S ribosomal RNA
Rfam family: Bacterial small subunit ribosomal RNA
Source: RNAcentral
AUACGUAGGGGGCGAGCGUUGUCCGGAAUGAUUGGGCGUAAAGGGCGCGUAGGCGGCCUGGUAAGUCUGGAGUGAAAGUCCUGCUUUUAAGGUGGGAAUUGCUUUGGAUACUGCUGGGCUUGAGUGCAGGAGAGGAAAGCGGAAUUACCGGUGUAGCGGUAGAAAUGCGUAGAGAUCGGUAGGAACACCAGUGGCGAAGGCGGUCUUUCUGGACUAGAAACUGACGCUGAGGCGACG